This 2122-nucleotide ribosomal RNA is filed under the name Orphnaeus brevilabiatus. RNAcentral's name for it is "partial 18S ribosomal RNA". It matches the Rfam family "Eukaryotic small subunit ribosomal RNA", at positions 421 to 1781 of the family's 1831-position model. Lineage: Eukaryota; Metazoa; Arthropoda; Chilopoda; Geophilomorpha; Oryidae. The record is from RNAcentral.
GUAGGCAGCAGGCACGCAAAUUACCCACUCCCGGCACGGGGAGGUAGUGACGAAAAAUAACAAUACGGGACUCUUCCGAGGCCCCGUAAUUGGAAUGAGAACACUUUAAAUCCGUUAGCGAGGAUCUAUUGGAGGGCAAGUCUGGUGCCAGCAGCCGCGGUAAUUCCAGCUCCAAUGGCGUAUAUUAAAGUUGUUGCGGUUAAAAAGCUCGUAGUUGGAUUCCUGGUUCCCGGUCUGGCGUGCCGUUUCGUCCCCCUCGAACCGAAUUUUCUCUUUCCUCCGGCCUUCGUCGCGGGAGAAGCGAGCGCUGUCGUCUGCGGCGUGCGUGCGCGCGUUCGGCCACCUGCUUUCGUGCUCUCGGGGAAAAGAUUUUUCGAAGAUGUUUUCGUUCGGCGAGGUAGUAGUAGUGCGCGCGUGAGGAUGUCUCUGUCAAACGAGCGUCGGCGGGGCGACCCGUCGAUGGCCAACGAAGAGGCAUGCCUCUCCCUCUGCUACCCUCGUGCGGCGAUUCUCUUCGCAUUUCUUCUUCUCCCGCAGAGGCGACUGCGAUUGGAGUCUGUUCGCGUGGCGUUCGUUGGCAGCUUCGCGGCUCGUGGACGAAGCGGCGAUAGGUCGAUCAAGGGAAGGAAAAGGACGUUCGAACAAAAAGGCGAACGGGUCUAAAAACGCGCCAGUUCAAAUUCACAACCGGGACCAGUGGGGCCGGACCGUACCCCUCGGUGCUCUUCGCCGGGUGUCGAGGGGAAGGGGCCGGACGAUUUACUUUGAACAAAUCAGGGUGCUCAAAGCAGGCACGCUUUCCCCGAAGCAGUGGCCUGAAUGAAAUAAGCAUGGAAUAAUGGAAAAGGACCUCGGUUCUAUUUUGUUGGUUUUCGGAACUCGCGAGGUAAUGAUUAAGAGGGACUGACGGGGGCAUUCGUAUUGCGGCGCUAGAGGUGAAAUUCUUGGACCGUUGCAAGACGAACUACUGCGAAAGCAUUUGCCAAGAAUGUUUUCAUUAAUCAAGAACGAAAGUUAGAGGGUCGAAGGCGAUCAGAUACCGCCCUAGUUCUAACCAUAAACGAUGCCAACCAGCGGUUCGCCGGCGUUCCUCCGAUGACUCGGCGAGAAGCUCCCGGGAAACCAGAGUCUCUGGGUUCCGGGGGAAGUAUGGUUGCAAAGCUGAAACUUAAAGGAAUUGACGGAAGGGCACCACCAGGAGUGGAGCCUGCGGCUUAAUUUGACUCAACACGGGAAAACUUACCCGGCCCGGACACUAGAAGGAUUGACAGAUUGAGAGCUCUUUCUUGAUUUGGUGGGUGGUGGUGCAUGGCCGUUCUUAGUUGGUGGAGCGAUUUGUCUGGUUAAUUCCGAUAACGAACGAGACUCUAUCCUGUUAAAUAUGCCGAGCUGUAUUUGAAAAGAGGUACUCGAAAAAAAAAAGAAGCGCCGGGAACCAAGGGACGCGCUUUUCACGGGACCAGCGUGCCGCAAUCUCAUACCGCGCGAGUUCUCGAACACGCACGCAGCGGCACUUGCGCGUUUCAUGACCCGUCUUUCUCUCUCUGCGGUCGCGGUUCCGGCCGUGCUCGUAGGGUUUGGAUUUCGGAAUGACUCGUGGGGUGUCGUUUCGUGUCGUUCGGUUCUCGCGGCUGCUGGGUUGCGGGCGCCCCCGCGGAAAAGAGCGUUUUCUCUCCCUGCGCUUCGAAAAGAGACCCAGGCAGCUCGAGAAAACAAGCUUCUUAAAGGGACAAGCGGCGUCCAGCCGCACGAAAUUGAGCAAUAACAGGUCUGUGAUGCCCUUAGAUGUCCGGGGCCGCACGCGCGCUACAAUGAAGGAAUCAACGUGUAUUUUUCCCCGCUUCGAAAGGAGCGGGUAACCCGUUGAAAUUCCUUCGUGAUAGGGAUCGGGGCUUGGAAUUGUCCUCCGCGAACGAGGAAUUCCCAGUAAGCGCGAGUCAUAAGCCCGUGUUGAUUACGUCCCUGCCCUUUGUACACACCGCCCGUCGCUACUACCGAUCGAACGGCUUAGUGAGGUCUUCGGACCGGCACCGGCCGCGAGUCUUGCCCUUGCGUCUCACGUGCGCUCGGGGGGUCUCUCGGACGCGCGCCGGGAAGAUGCCCGAACUGACCGUUAGAGAAG